This 567-nucleotide ribosomal RNA is filed under the name Staphylococcus epidermidis. RNAcentral describes it as "partial 23S ribosomal RNA". Lineage: Bacteria; Bacillati; Bacillota; Bacilli; Caryophanales; Staphylococcaceae. The record is from RNAcentral.
AGAUUAAGUUAUUAAGGGCGCACGGUGGAUGCCUUGGCACUAGAAGCCGAUGAAGGACGUUACUAACGACGAUAUGCUUUGGGUAGCUGUAAGUAAGCGUUGAUCCAGAGAUUUCCGAAUGGGGGAACCCAGCAUGAGUUAUGUCAUGUUAUCGACAUGUGAAUUYAUAGCAUGUCAGAAGGCAGACCCGGAGAACUGAAACAUCUUAGUACCCGGAGGAAGAGAAAGAAAAAUCGAUUCCCUGAGUAGCGGCGAGCGAAACGGGAAKAGCCCAAACCAACAAGCUUGCUUGUUGGGGUUGUAGGACACUCUAUACGGAGUUACAAAAGAACAUGUUAGACGAAUCAUCUGGAAAGAUGAAUCAAAGAAGGUAAUAAUCCUGUAGUCGAAAACAUAUUCUCUCUUGAGUGGAUCCUGAGUACGACGGAGCACGUGAAAUUCCGUCGGAAUCUGGGAGGACCAUCUCCUAAGGCUAAAUACUCUCUAGUGACCGAUAGUGAACCAGUACCGUGAGGGAAAGGUGAAAAGUACCCCGGAAGGGGAGUGAAAGAGAACUUGAAACCGUGU